This is a long non-coding RNA of Hemicordylus capensis (graceful crag lizard), 732 nucleotides long. RefSeq lists it as uncharacterized. Lineage: Eukaryota; Metazoa; Chordata; Lepidosauria; Squamata; Cordylidae. The record is from RefSeq and is a predicted model, not a curated record. The transcript has 2 exons.
CGCUAUUCAUGUUUAGUCAGAAAUCGCACUGCAGCUGAAGCUUACUCUCAAGUGUGCACAAGAGACUGAAGCCUUACUUGAAAGGGGUGAAAUCCAUUCUUCUUUGCCGAGUAAACACAAGACACCACCAAGUUGAUGCAGAGAGAAAAAGCCUUUAAGAACUGGAGCCCCGUUUGGUGCAGAUGGCAGCCUCGGCGCACAAAGAUGGAGCGGGAAGUAUCUGUUACAGGCGAGGACUCUGCGAGCAGCAGCUGCAGAUGUUUGGGGGCCUAAAACCGCUCCAUGUGUUCGCACAAAGAAGGCCCCGUUUUCAUCGGGAAGAACGCCGAAACAGUUCCUCGUUUAUUUCACAUUUGACAAGCAGCUUUGCCUCUGACUCUUUCUGGUCCAAAGCCUUGGCCCCCCCGCGCCCUCCGCCCACCCCCAUUCCCUGCAUCUUAUAUCGGCCGUGGAUGAGAUUCAACCGAAUGGUGCCUUUACGAAACUUUAGAGCUGUGAAAAGAGCCCCAGAAAGAGCAGGGAGGUGGAAGGGAAAGAUGGUCUCCAAACAGCUCUUGGAAAUCCUCCUGCAUUCGCCAAGCCCCGGGUCUCUGUUCUUGCCUUUUUCUGUGGUCCCUACAGAUUUUAAUUGCUUCCUCUCUCGUUUUUUUAAUGGACUGUAAAUGAGAGCAUUUUAGCAGCUCCCAGUUUCGUUUAUUAGCCAGUCCCUCAUAAAGUUAAUUCACCAUCCGA